UGGGAGGUGAAACUCCUUCAUGGCCC
Molecule: non-coding RNA, 26 nt
Filed under: Mus musculus (house mouse)
Lineage: Eukaryota; Metazoa; Chordata; Mammalia; Rodentia; Muridae
Source: RNAcentral